Non-coding RNA from Anas platyrhynchos (mallard), 4513 nucleotides. The record is from RefSeq and is a predicted model, not a curated record. NCBI's taxonomy places the organism in Eukaryota, Metazoa, Chordata, Aves, Anseriformes, Anatidae.
CGGGGAGGUUUGCAGGCAGCCAGCGAAGCCCUGCAGGUGGGAGCUGGAUGCGCCAGUUGUCUGUACGUGUGAGCGGACACGCGGGCUGGUGCACCUCGCUCCGGGGCGCGGAGGAGGCUCGCAGCCUCCCCGGGGGCACGGCCGGGCGCACGUGACGGUAUCCGUGCCUUGCACGCCGGCCACGUUGAUCUCAUGUGCUGAGCUCCUCGCAGGCACCCGAAGGAGUCAUCGAGUGCGCGCUGAUCACCGUGCGCUGCCAAAAUCCUCUGGAAUCUGCUCCCCUGCGCCGCCCCUUCCCAGGUCAGCGGCGGGGGCUGCGGCAGCAGGUGCUGAAACCCGUCCCUCCUCGCGACCUGCCUCGCUUGCUUUUCCAGCACAUUUUCCGGAGUGGCUGCAGAGCGAAGGCUGACAUCACUUUGCUGGCCGGUUUCAGCUAAUUUAGACUGCAGCAAUGUGUGUGAUUAGUUCAAAACACUCCUUGCAGCGAGCGGUGCCGUGCAUUUAUCAACACGCCGGGCUUCCUCGCUGCCUCGUGCUGCUGCUGGCUUUGAAGAAGUAUUUCCCUUUGCACUGAAGAUGAAUGUUGCAGCCUGCAGGUCAAUGGCUCAGUUCUCCCCGAAGGUGAAUUCUGGAGGAGCUGAGCUGGGAUCUUCACAGUGGAAACAGCUGGCAGCUGAAACGUCUUUAAAAUUUGUGUUAUUUGGGAAAGGAAGCAAAGGAAGAGUGAUCACAACCAAGUUCACCAUUUUACUAUGUAUUGCCCAAAUUGAAAUAAAUAUAAUUUUAAAGAGCAGAAGAAACAGCAGAAACAGCACAACCAUGUCCUAGUUUGUAGCCUUCAGCUUCUUGCAAGCAGUUUCUGCUCUGGAGGCUGCAUCAGCAUCAGCAAAGCCGUGCUUCUUGGAGCUCUCUCUUCCCUUCUGCACUUGGGUUUUCUGCUCAUGAAUAUGCCCUGGCAGUGACUCUGCUGGUCAUUGCUGUGUGAAACCACGAGUUGUGUUUGCUUUAACCAGCUGGCUGAUGUUUGUACCGGGCAGCCCACAAUCGCUGUGCUGGUGGAAGAGUGGCUGGUUGCUCCCUCUUCCCUUCCUUGUUGUUAUUUAUUUAUUUUAUUUUUCUGUUUUGUUUUUAACUCCACUGGCUAUCUCAAGCUGGGCUGUGGAGAGGCAGUGAAGUGCACUGCAGCUUGCCUGCUUUCCAAAAAGUGAGCAACCUUUCGGGACCCUAUUAGGUGUCCAAAGCAUGUGCUUUAUCAGCUUGAUCUCAUUCUGCUUGAGCUGCUGCAGGUGUCUCAUAGUUGUUGUGGCUGGUGGGUCUGUGCUUGCCCAUGAGGACUUCCCCUGCCACUGCCCAUGCCUCAUCUUCUGAUGUCCUGACUCCUUCUGGCUGCCUGGUGUGCACAGCUAGGGGAAACACCUCCACAGAGCUGAGGAGAACGGGGGGACACGGGCAUUUGGCUGGGUGGGAGCUCAGCACCCUGACCGCUGUGAUGGCUUGGAGGUGCUUCCUGGGAAAAGGGAGGAGAGCAUCCUCCUUUGGAGGGUGUAGAUGUCACAUCUCCUCCACCGGUUCUGUUUUAUCUGUGGGUCAUGCAAGCAGUGAUUUUUGUAAUGCUGGGAAAGAGGUUGGAGAGGUGGUGGUUUGGUUUUGGUUGUCCAUGCAGUGGCGUGACCAAGUUUCUGCUCUAACCAUGAGUUUGGCUCACAUCCUCGCUGCCCAGACUCCCACCUCGUCCCCUAGCUGUAGGGAAAGCAGGAGGUGCUUUUCAUCCAUUUCCCCUUUUAGAGGAUGGCGGUAGCUCUCCUCUGCUCUGAUUUUACUCACCAAAUAGGAUGAAAACAGAUGAGGUCAGUGGCGUCUAUACAGGCAGAUUUGGCCUCCAUUUUCUGUUUACUAGGACUGCAUUAGUUAUGAAUAAUGGCGCGUCAAACCACUCGCUCCAAGCAAUUUAUUCAUGGGAUUUGGCCCCGCUCGCUGUCUGCGAGCUGCCUGCCAGCAGGGUCUGAUUUUUAAAAUACACUUGCAAGCACGCAGCCGUACGCCCGAGCUGCUCGUGAACGCAUCGGGGCCCCCGGGUGCUGCAGGGUGGGGGUGGCAGUGCCAUCGGGGCACCGUGGCCGGUCCCCAAAGCCCCUAAUUCAGUGUGCAGAGGGGCAGAGGUGGUGUCUGUUUGCAGCAGGGUGCAAUUAGAUGGAUGGAAGAGGAGAAGUGGCGGGAGGCUUUAAAUAUCCUUCUUUCUCCUUUUGCCCAGGGGACAUCAUUAUGCUAAGCUACGCACACGCACGCGAUCCUGAACCUUUAAGGCAGGAAUUCCUUCCCCGACUUGAGAGUAGACGGCAAUGAUUUUGAGUUCGUUUCUCGCCGUCUGGCAAAUUUUACGUCUAAUUUUUGCUCUGUCACAUCCCCGCGGAAUAACCAUUGAUUUAUAUGAUGGCCGAGCCCAGACCAAAUGCUUUCUCACUGGAGUACGGAUACCUGUAUUCUCUCCAAGAAAGGUUCCUGCUCCCCACGCUUUGAUAAAAAGGCCAAAACUAAAGAAACCCCCGCUUGCUGUGAUGUCUGUGGAGAAGGGAACACAAUAGCCCAUGCGUGAAGGGAGGCAAUCGCGGGUCAGGUCUGCUCACCCGUCGCCGGUAUGAUGUGCACCGCUCGCUAUUGUUUUCUGGGGUAUUGCACUUUUGAUUGAUUGCUUAAUUUGUGCGCCUGUGUGAUAGUUAUUGUCAUGUGAUGGCUCUUUUGUCGUGCUGGACUGAACGUUUUUAUUCUUGGGAGACAGUUCAGGCUCCGAGAUGCUUCCCAAGAAUGCUUGGGCUGAUGUUCCCAGGGGCCAUAUUUGGAAAUCCCAACAGUUUUCUCUUGGCCAAAAGCACCAGUUGAUUUUAAGGGACGUUUUGUUUGCGUUACAGUGUGAGUUUCUGGCCCCUGAUGUUCUUGGAGGGGGAAAAAGAAAAAAAAAAAAAAAAAGAUUCCCAGCUCACAAGACAUUUGCACUAAUUAAACAGCAGGGAAUUUGUUGCUCGUUGCUGGUUUGUUUUUUCGGCUUCUGUCAGGCUUUUUUUGCACUCGGGUUUCCACGAGCCUUGUUAGCACCAGUUGGCAGCUGUCACGCAACGAUGGACGGACUCUUCCUCUCGCCCAUGAGAUGAGGUUGGUGGGAUGCAGAGCGAAGACGAGGGACACAUCCCCACCACCCAGCUCAUUUGCCUCAAGUUCAAGGUUCCCUCUAUGGGCUGUCCUAAAAGAAGGCUCUCCAGUUUAUUUGGGGGUGAAGUAUUUCAGGAGUCCGUCCUGGUCCCUUCCCUUGCUGCAUCCGUCCCUGGCAAUGGAGGGAGCUUUGGGAGAUGCCAGUGUCCUCCAAGAGGCUACAGACCCUCCCCUAGGGACCACUCUGCAUUUGGUAGCCCUAUGAUUUUUUGGCCUUUCCUAGCCUUUUGGGCAAGGAGAAGCAGACCAGGUGAGGCUGAACUUUCUUUCUUCUUUCUUACAUGCCCACAGUGUGGUUGGUGUUAGAUCAUUUGCCCUUGCCACCUGUGCGGGUUGUCAGUGUAAAGCUCCAUCUUGUUUUCCUCCUCCUUGAAGUUUAUUUUGAGUAGUUUAACCAUAAAAGCUCUGUAAAUUCUGGUGCCAUCAGGGAAUAUCCUUCCUUCUGAGUAAAUGGAGUCGCUGGAAAACCACUGAUGGAGUUGGCUUUGCCACUUCAGCUCUCCUUAAACCUGCAGUCCAGAGGCAGGGAGCCCUGCACAAGCUCUGUGCCUGCUGACACUGCUCCAAGUCCCAGUGCCUGUCACCAAACGUGGAUGAGAGGUCGGGGGGAGCACAGCUGCGCCCCUCUCCUCCCCGCAGUUUUGCUCUGUUAAUCUUCCCAAGUUUCAUUUAUGGCUGUGGUGAAAUGAGAGAGGGGCUUGGGUGGGAGAAGGACAGGACCCUGCGGGUGGUAAUAGAUGCCCUUGUGUCACUUGAGGAGCGGGGGACUGCUGCUGCUGCUCCCUGUGGUUUGGAGCAAGGUGCUCAAUCUGCCUGUGCCUGCAGUCCAUGGUAAGUGCCCGCUGCUGGUUCCAACAAGUUCCCUGGCUUCAACUGCAAAUUCCCCUCCUGCCCCUGAGUGGUUUCCCCUAAAACUCUUCACUCCAGGGGAAUCUGCAGGAUUUUUUUUUUUCUCCCUCCUCCCAUCCAAAAUCACGCAGUCGACAAAAUCUUUUUCCCGUGCUAAUCCUCGGCUAUGCAGGAGGACUCAUCCGGCCCCGCGGUAGUAGGGGAGAGACAGAUGUUCAGCAGACAAUUAGUGCAGUUGUGCAGUGCUUUCCUGCUCAAAGCCUCCACGCCAGAGCCCCCGAAUAAAUCACUGCGUGUGUGCCUGCGUCGCCUCGUGCCGCCAGACCUCUGCAAAAUGAGCGCAGGUGGGACAGGCUCAGAUGGGGGACACCGUGCUCUGCAGAAAAGUCCCCUUUCACCCCAUUUUUCUGAGCCCUUUCUGCCCUCGGUACAGCAGCAAUAGGCAUUUAACCACUGCUGA